UGGGGAAUCUUGCACAAUGGGGGAAACCCUGAUGCAGCGACGCCGCGUGAGCGAUGAAGCCCUUCGGGGUGUAAAGCUCUUUCGGCAGGAACGAUAAUGACGGUACCUGCAGAAGAAGCUGCGGCUAACUACGUGCCAGCAGCCGCGGUAAUACGUAGGCAGCAAGCGUUGUUCGGAGUUACUGGGCGUAAAGAGUGUGUAGGCGGUUUGCCAAGUUCGGUGUGAAAUCUCCCGGCUUAACUGGGAGGGUGCGCCGAAAACUGGCAGGCUCGAGUGCGGGAGAGGAGAGCGGAAUUCCUGGUGUAGCGGUGAAAUGCGUAGAGAUCAGGAGGAACACCUGCGGUGUAGACGGCUCUCUGGACCGCAACUGACGCUGAGACACGAAAGCGUGGGUAGCAAACAGGAUUAGAUACCCUGGUAGUCCACGCCCUAAACGAUGCACACUUGGUGUGGGCAGUUCAUUCUGUCCGUGCCGUAGUU
This 480-nucleotide ribosomal RNA is filed under the name uncultured Acidobacteriota bacterium. RNAcentral's name for it is "bacterial SSU rRNA". It matches the Rfam family "Bacterial small subunit ribosomal RNA", at positions 355 to 853 of the family's 1533-position model. Lineage: Bacteria; Pseudomonadati; Acidobacteriota. The record is from RNAcentral.